GUAUGGUACGCCUGGAAAGACGAUUGGCGUCUCCGCUGACGGACGGAAGCAGCCUUCGGGCUUUCUUUUACCACAUACAUGGAACGUUCGGGUAUUUUAACAAGCAUCUAUAUGUUUGUUU
This is a small nuclear RNA of Nymphaea colorata (pocket water lily), 121 nucleotides long. The record is from RefSeq and is a predicted model, not a curated record. NCBI's taxonomy places the organism in Eukaryota, Viridiplantae, Streptophyta, Magnoliopsida, Nymphaeales, Nymphaeaceae.